Molecule: ribosomal RNA, 343 nt
Filed under: uncultured bacterium
Lineage: Bacteria
Description: bacterial SSU rRNA
Rfam family: Bacterial small subunit ribosomal RNA
Source: RNAcentral
GAUGAACGCUAGCGGCAGGCCUAAUACAUGCAAGUCGAGGGGCAGCGCGGUAGCAAUACUGGCGGCGACCGGCGCACGGGUGCGUAACACGUAUGCAACCUACCUUCAACUGGAGGAUAGCCCGGGGAAACUCGGAUUAAUACUCCAUAACACAGGGAUCCCGCAUGGGAAUAUUGUUAAAGCUACGGCGGUUGAAGAUGGGCAUGCGUUCGAUUAGCUAGUUGGUGUAGGUAACGGCUCACCAAGGCUACGAUCGAUAGGGGGUCUGAGAGGAUGAUCCCCCACACUGGUACUGAGAUACCGGACCAGACUCCUACGGGAGCAGCAGUAGGGAAUAUUGGUC